Molecule: ribosomal RNA, 504 nt
Filed under: Escherichia coli
Lineage: Bacteria; Pseudomonadati; Pseudomonadota; Gammaproteobacteria; Enterobacterales; Enterobacteriaceae
Description: bacterial SSU rRNA
Rfam family: Bacterial small subunit ribosomal RNA
Source: RNAcentral
CGUGGCUUCCGGAGCUAACGCGUUAAGUCGACCGCCUGGGGAGUACGGCCGCAAGGUUAAAACUCAAAUGAAUUGACGGGGGCCCGCACAAGCGGUGGAGCAUGUGGUUUAAUUCGAUGCAACGCGAAGAACCUUACCUGGUCUUGACAUCCACAGAACUUUCCAGAGAUGGAUUGGUGCCUUCGGGAACUGUGAGACAGGUGCUGCAUGGCUGUCGUCAGCUCGUGUUGUGAAAUGUUGGGUUAAGUCCCGCAACGAGCGCAACCCUUAUCCUUUGUUGCCAGCGGUCCGGCCGGGAACUCAAAGGAGACUGCCAGUGAUAAACUGGAGGAAGGUGGGGAUGACGUCAAGUCAUCAUGGCCCUUACGACCAGGGCUACACACGUGCUACAAUGGCGCAUACAAAGAGAAGCGACCUCGCGAGAGCAAGCGGACCUCAUAAAGUGCGUCGUAGUCCGGAUUGGAGUCUGCAACUCGACUCCAUGAAGUCGGAAUCGCUAGUAAU